RNAcentral lists this ribosomal RNA (253 nucleotides) under uncultured bacterium. RNAcentral describes it as "partial 16S ribosomal RNA". It matches the Rfam family "Bacterial small subunit ribosomal RNA", at positions 524 to 776 of the family's 1533-position model. The record is from RNAcentral.
AACGUAGGAGGCGAGCGUUAUCCGGAUUCACUGGGCGUAAAGCGCAUGUAGGGGGUUCGUCAAGUCGCGUGUGAAAGCCUCUGGCUUAACUGGGGGAGGUCACGCGAAACUGGCGGACUUGAGGGCCGGAGAGGAAGGUGGAAUUCCCGGUGUAGCGGUGGAAUGCGUAGAGAUCGGGAGGAACACCAGUGGCGAAAGCGGCCUUCUGGCCGGCGCCUGACCCUGAGAUGCGAAAGCGUGGGGAGCAAACGGG